GGCAUGUGUGUACUAACUUAUCUGGGUAAAGAGAAAGCUGUUCCUUUAAACUGUGUUUGCUGUGACUCUGGAAACUGAGCAAACAAAAUCCGAGGGACACUUUACUCUCAAGCAAAACUGACAGGAAGGUACAAGGACUGAAGGACAGCGAACCCCUGUAGGACAUACCUGUCUCUGGAUUCACAACUGGAUUGCAAAUCACUAACAAUUUGGUGGAGUUUAAUUCAGACUUUUUGGACAUAUCUCAUCCAAAUGGCAAAGGAGAGACUGGCUCAGCCCCUGAGUGUCAGACUGCUACUUUGGUCUCCACGAGCUUCGGGGAAGUGUUUGCCUGCAAAGCACAUUCAGCUCUAAUUCAGAUAAAGCUGAUGGAGUUGUGGAGGCUACCUGACUUCUGCUGCUCUGGCGCUGAUCGACUGUCUCAGUUGCCAUAGAGACAAGCUCUGGAAGCCAUGG
Long non-coding RNA from Ficedula albicollis (Collared flycatcher), 456 nucleotides. RefSeq lists it as uncharacterized. The record is from RefSeq and is a predicted model, not a curated record. NCBI's taxonomy places the organism in Eukaryota, Metazoa, Chordata, Aves, Passeriformes, Muscicapidae. The transcript has 3 exons.